GAUGAACGCUGGCGGCGUGCCUAAUACAUGCAAGUCGAGCGAACAGACGAGGAGCUUGCUCCUCUGACGUUAGCGGCGGACGGGUGAGUAACACGUGGAUAACCUACCUAUAAGACUGGGAUAACUUCGGGAAACCGGAGCUAAUACCGGAUAAUAUAUUGAACCGCAUGGUUCAAUAGUGAAAGACGGUUUUGCUGUCACUUAUAGAUGGAUCCGCGCCGCAUUAGCUAGUUGGUAAGGUAACGGCUUACCAAGGCAACGAUGCGUAGCCGACCUGAGAGGGUGAUCGGCCAAACUGGAACUGAGACACGGUGCAGACUCCUACGGGAGGCAGCAGUAGGGAAUCUUCCGCAAUGAGCGAAAGCUUGACGGAGCAACGCCGCGUGAGUGAUGAAGAUCUUCGGAUCGUAAAACUCUGUUAUUAGGGAAGAACAAAUGUGUAAGUAACUAUGCACGUCUUGACGGUACCUAAUCAGAAAGCCACGGCUAACUACGUG
RNAcentral lists this ribosomal RNA (497 nucleotides) under uncultured bacterium. Its description in RNAcentral is "partial 16S ribosomal RNA". It matches the Rfam family "Bacterial small subunit ribosomal RNA", at positions 28 to 507 of the family's 1533-position model. The record is from RNAcentral.